This 496-nucleotide ribosomal RNA is filed under the name uncultured bacterium. RNAcentral describes it as "partial 16S ribosomal RNA". It matches the Rfam family "Bacterial small subunit ribosomal RNA", at positions 28 to 506 of the family's 1533-position model. The record is from RNAcentral.
GAUGAACGCUGGCGGCGUGCCUAAUACAUGCAAGUCGAGCGAACGGACGAGAAGCUUGCUUUUCUGAUGUUAGCGGCGGACGGGUGAGUAACACGUGGAUAACCUACCUAUAAGACUGGGAUAACUUCGGGAAACCGGAGCUAAUACCGGAUAAUAUUUUGAACCGCAUGGUUCAAAAGCGAAAGACGGUCUUGCUGUCACUUAUAGAUGGAUCCGCGCUGCAUUAGCUAGUUGGUAAGGUAACGGCUUACCAAGGCAACGAUGCAUAGCCGACCUGAGAGGGUGAUCGGCCACACUGGAACUGAGACACGGUCCAGACUCCUACGGGAGGCAGCAGUAGGGAAUCUUCCGCAAUGGGCGAAAGCCUGACGGAGCAACGCCGCGUGAGUGAUGAAGGUCUUCGGAUCGUAAAACUCUGUUAUUAGGGAAGAACAUAUGUGUAAGUAACUGUGCACAUCUUGACGGUACCUAAGCAGAAAGCCACGGCUAACUACGU